This 423-nucleotide ribosomal RNA is filed under the name uncultured bacterium. Its description in RNAcentral is "partial 16S ribosomal RNA". It matches the Rfam family "Bacterial small subunit ribosomal RNA", at positions 361 to 776 of the family's 1533-position model. The record is from RNAcentral.
AUUUUGGACAAUGGGGGAAACCCUGAUCCAGCCAUCGCGUGUGUAUGAUGAAGGCCUUCGGGUUGUAAAGUACUUUUGGCAGAGAAGAAAAGGUAUCCCCUAAUACGGGAUACUGCUGACGGUAUCUGCAGAAUAAGCAACGGCUAACUACGUGCCAGCAGCCGCGGUAAUACGUAGGGUGCAAGCGUUAAUCGGGAUUAAUGGGCGGAAAGCGUGUGUAGGCAGGUCGGAAAGGAAGAUGUGAAAUCCCAGGUCUCAACCUUGGAACUACAUUUUUAACUGCCGAGCUAGAGUAAGUCAGGAGGGGGUAGAAUUCCACGGGUAGCAGUGAAAUGCGUAGAUAUGUGGAGGAAUAACGACGGCGAAGGCAGCCCCCUGGGAUAAUUCUGACGCUCAGACACGAAAGCGUGGGGAGCAAACAGG